CUGGCCCCGCCUCCUAAUCCCUGGCCCAAUGGAGUCCUCCGGCGAGGGGGGUGACGACGGACGACCCUCCCGGCUCUUUAGUCCCGCCCUCCGGUCCCAGGCCCCGCCUCCAACUCGGCCGAAUCCAGGAUAAAAUCAAUCUCACUUUCAAGUUCCGCCCUCGUCCGGUUCAGCUUUUGCAGCUCUGUGUGUGCCCUUCCCUUCUCCAGCUAAUUCCGCGUCUCGGCUCAAAGUCCCUUACCACCUCAUAUACCCAGUAAGGCUACCGCAUUCCCAGGCCUCCUCCCGACCAUACUCUUCCUUUCUAUACAGUUAUUUUGCAAAUUAUCCAAACUGUUUCAAAAGAAUCCGAACUCUGAGUCGCAAUCCAUUCUCUGUCCAGAGGUACUACAGGAGCACUGGCAGCGUGUCUCUUCUCACAGCAACAGUUUGCUCUCUUCUGAUUAAGAAUCCACAUAGAGAAGGUCUGGGCUCCUGUGACCUGGUCCAGGCCAGCCAUAUGACAGCUGCCAGUCCUGGGAGAGUUACUUAACCUCUGAAGCCCAACCCCCCACCCCAGAACACAGGGGUUCAACACGGGCUCUUGGAUGACCAUGGUCAGCAUCCAAUGAGCAUCGGUACUUGGUGUUCUCAGAUCACAGUGAGAAGGAAGCCAAAACCCAUAGGUCCAUGCUAUCUAUACUCAAGGUGACCUGGUAGGCCCAGUUUGCAUGGGGACACCCUAAUUUCUUUCCUCUGAGCUCAGUACCUGGCAGGCAUCCUUUCCCCCUACAGCCCGGGGAGUCCAGCCUGCUGGGAAGACAGAGGGUGGCCUGCUGUCUUGGCUCCCAGGGGAGGCCCUACCCAUGCCCCUAGGAAGCUGGCCUCUUCCUCAGUAGGCAGAUGACCCCCAUGCAUGUCUGUCUCUCACUCUCUUCUGGGCUGUAAUGACCCUAGACCUGGGGCUAGCAAGUCUCUGGAAGUGGACAUAGGAGGCAGGCUCCCCCCAAGACACCUCCCAGUCUCCAUGGCCUCUCUCCAACUGCAGGAGUUCUCUCCUCAUCUCUCAGAAGUUUAACAAGCAGUCUUUGGCCUCUGACAAUUCCCCAACUCACCCACCAGCUGCAAGCUCCCCCACCCUCUUUAAAACUCUUGGGAGAAAUCUCCUGCUUAUAUUUUCAAAACAGAAUUAAAUGACAGGAACUGACUAAUUAGGGAGGGGUUCCUGAAGGGAAAUGGAAUUAUCCCUACUUUGACAUUAUAGGCCCUUCUCUUCUCUCAAAGGAAGAGACAAUGGUGUCAGAUCAUUGAUAUUCUGAGCCAGACCUUGUUUUGAAAUAUCCAUUCCCUUGUCCUUUCACAGAUGAUAGCCUUUUUCCCUCUUUGAAAAUAAGAUCACAUCAAGUCAGGGAUUAGAAAUGGGAAAAAUCCGAUCAGAGCUUCCCUCUGCCAUCUACACAUCUCAGUAUACUCCCAGGCGAGCAGAACCAGCUCCUGCCACAAUUCUGCUCAGCAGCAUCAUUCAGAACGCACCAGUUGGAAAUGGUGAAACAGAAGGACCUUUCUUCCCCGGAACAUGUCCUCCAGCUCUCGGGGAACAUCUCAGUCCCACAGGUGAAGAGCUGUCAUGCACGGUCCAGCCCAAGCCCUUUCCUGAUGAGCCGGGUCAGGGCAGGUGACUCAGGUGAGCUCUCAGGACCCCCUGCUCCAGCCAGGGCUCUCUCAGCUGGAAAAGGAGGGCCCUGUGUGGCAGUUCCUGGGCUGAGAAAACCAUGUGUCAAAGUUGUGGCUCAAUCCUUCACUCUAUUUUUACCCUCCUGACACUACCUCUUUGAGUCCUGAGGAGGGGCCCUGGCCUGAGGCGGCCUGAGCCGGCGUCUCUGAGGCACAUGUGGCCAGCCUUGGCCUCCUCCAGAAACCACCCCAAAGCUGCCUUUGUACUUGUCUUGACCAGAAAUAAAUGCAUCACAUAAAUGUU
Non-coding RNA from Heterocephalus glaber (naked mole-rat), 1957 nucleotides. The record is from RefSeq and is a predicted model, not a curated record. NCBI's taxonomy places the organism in Eukaryota, Metazoa, Chordata, Mammalia, Rodentia, Bathyergidae.